UUGACCUCAAAUCAGGUAGGACUACCCGCUGAACUUAAGCAUAUCAAUAAGCGGAGGAAAAGAAACUAACAAGGAUUCCCCUAGUAACUGCGAGUGAAGCGGGAAAAGCUCAAAUUUAAAAUCUGGCGGUCCYUGUGGCCGUCCGAGUUGUAAUUUAGAGAAGUGUUAUCCGCGCUGGACCGUGUACAAGUCUCCUGGAAUGGAGCGUCAUAGAGGGUGAGAAUCCCGUCUUUGACACGGACUGCCAGGGCAUUGUGAUGCGCUCUCGAAGAGUCGAGUUGUUUGGGAAUGCAGCUCAAAAUGGGUGGUAAAUUCCAUCUAAAGCUAAAUAUUGGGGAGAGACCGAUAGCGAACAAGUACCGUGAGGGAAAGAUGAAAAGAACUUUGGAAAGAGAGUUAAACAGUACGUGAAAUUGCUGAAAGGGAAACGCUUGAAGUCAGUCGCGUCGUUCAGGACUCAGCCUUGCUUUUGCUUGGUGUACUUCUUGUUCGACGGGUCAGCAUCAAUUUUGGUCGGUGGAUAAAGGCUUAGAGAAUGUGGCAUCUUCGGGUGUGUUAUAGCUCUGGGUCGCAUACAUCGGCUGGGAUUGAGGAACUCAGCACG
This 604-nucleotide ribosomal RNA is filed under the name Mycena epipterygia. RNAcentral describes it as "eukaryotic LSU rRNA". It matches the Rfam family "Eukaryotic large subunit ribosomal RNA", at positions 1 to 602 of the family's 3401-position model. Lineage: Eukaryota; Fungi; Basidiomycota; Agaricomycetes; Agaricales; Mycenaceae. The record is from RNAcentral.